UGGGCAACCUGCCCUCAGCUCUGGGAUAACUCCAAGAAAUUGGGGCUAAUACCGGAUAUGACUGCUGACCGCAUGGUCUGGUGGUGGAAAGAUUUAUCGGCUGGGGAUGGGCCCGCGGCCUAUCAGCUUGUUGGUGGGGUAGUGGCCUACCAAGGCGACGACGGGUAGCUGGUCCGAGAGGAUGACCAGCCACAUUGGGACUGAGACACGGCCCAGACCUCCGUACGGGA
This 230-nucleotide ribosomal RNA is filed under the name uncultured bacterium. RNAcentral's name for it is "partial 16S ribosomal RNA". It matches the Rfam family "Bacterial small subunit ribosomal RNA", at positions 118 to 346 of the family's 1533-position model. The record is from RNAcentral.